AGGGCUGGGAAGGUGGCUUAGUGGUAGAGUGCUUGCCUGGCAUGCAUGAAGCCCUGGGUUCGAUUCCUCAGCACCACAUAUAUAGAAAAGGCCAGAAGCGGCGCUGUGGCUCAAGUGGGCAGAGUGCCAGCCUUGAGCA
This is a long non-coding RNA of Perognathus longimembris pacificus (Pacific pocket mouse), 139 nucleotides long. RefSeq lists it as uncharacterized. The transcript is spliced from 2 exons. The record is from RefSeq and is a predicted model, not a curated record. NCBI's taxonomy places the organism in Eukaryota, Metazoa, Chordata, Mammalia, Rodentia, Heteromyidae.